RNAcentral lists this ribosomal RNA (482 nucleotides) under uncultured bacterium. RNAcentral's name for it is "partial 16S ribosomal RNA". It matches the Rfam family "Bacterial small subunit ribosomal RNA", at positions 30 to 507 of the family's 1533-position model. The record is from RNAcentral.
AUUGAACGCUGGCGGCAUGCCUUACACAUGCAAGUCGAACGGUAACGGGCCUUCGGGUGCCGACGAGUGGCGAACGGGUGAGUAAUACAUCGGAACGUGCCCGAUCGUGGGGGAUAACGAGGCGAAAGCUUUGCUAAUACCGCAUACGAUCUACGGAUGAAAGCAGGGGACCGCAAGGCCUUGCGCGGACGGAGCGGCCGAUGGCCGAUUAGGUAGUUGGUGGGAUAAAAGCUUACCAAGCCGACGAUCUGUAGCUGGUCUGAGAGGAUGAUCAGCCACACUGGGACUGAGACACGGCCCAGACUCCUACGGGAGGCAGCAGUGGGGAAUUUUGGACAAUGGGCGCAAGACUGAUCCAGCCAUGCCGCGUGCAGGAUGAAGGCCUUCGGGUUGUAAACUGCUUUUGUACGGAACGAAAAGCCUUCUUUUAAUACAGGAGGGUAAUAACGGUACCGUAAGAAUAAGCACCGGCUAACUACGUG